UACGUAGGGGGCAAGCGUUGUCCGGAAUCAUUGGGCGUAAAGCGCGUGUAGGCGGCUCGGUAAGUCCGCUCUGAAAGUCCGGGGCUCAACCCCGGGAGGCGGGUGGAUACUGUCGAGCUCGAGUCCGGAAGAGGCGAGUGGAAUUCCUGGUGUAGCGGUGAAAUGGCGCAGAUAUCAGGAGGAACACCGAUGGCGAAGGCAGCUCGCUGGGACGUGACUGACGCUGAGACGCGAAAGCGUGGGGAGCAAACAGG
Molecule: ribosomal RNA, 254 nt
Filed under: uncultured bacterium
Lineage: Bacteria
Description: partial 16S ribosomal RNA
Rfam family: Bacterial small subunit ribosomal RNA
Source: RNAcentral